This 253-nucleotide ribosomal RNA is filed under the name uncultured bacterium. RNAcentral's name for it is "partial 16S ribosomal RNA". It matches the Rfam family "Bacterial small subunit ribosomal RNA", at positions 524 to 776 of the family's 1533-position model. The record is from RNAcentral.
UACAGAGGUCUCAAGCGUUGUUCGGAUUCACUGGGCGUAAAGGGUGCGUAGGUGGCGCCAUAAGUCAGGUGUGAAAUUUCGGAGCUUAACUCCGAAACUGCACUUGAUACUGCGGUGCUUGAGGACUGGAGAGGAGACUGGAAUUCACGGUGUAGCAGUGAAAUGCGUAGAUAUCGUGAGGAAGACCAGUGGCGAAGGCGGGUCUCUGGACAGUUCCUGACACUGAGGCACGAAGGCCAGGGGAGCAAACGGG